This 68-nucleotide microRNA precursor is filed under the name Limulus polyphemus (Atlantic horseshoe crab). Its description in RNAcentral is "Lpo-Let-7-P16_pre stem-loop". Lineage: Eukaryota; Metazoa; Arthropoda; Merostomata; Xiphosura; Limulidae. The record is from RNAcentral.
UGAGGUAGUAGGUUGUAUGGUUGAGAACUACAUCUUUGGGGAGAACUGUACAGCCUGCUAACUUUCCC